CUGUAUUUUAGGCUUAGAUGAAUCAAGGUCCAGCAUACCUGACGAUGACAAAGGGGACCUGGGAGCUGGAGACUUCUGUGUCCAUGGGCAAAAGCAGGGGGGUGCUCAGGUGCUGGGAGGAGGUCCUGGGCCUCUGUGUCCUUGCAGCAGGAGGCUGGAUGUGGAAGAGAAGGCAGCCGCCUGGGCAUUCAGUGCAGCCCGACAGACAGCCCCACCUCUGCCACAGCCCUGCCUGCCUGGUCCAUGCCCUGCACCAACCCCAAAGUGACCUCUCUAAAACCCAGAGCCAUUUUCCUGCUGGAAAUUCCACAAUGGCCUUCAAUCUUUGUCGUAUAUUGGAAUCUCUUGUAGAGAUUUUUUUUUUAAAUGCUCACACCUGGGCAUUGCCAGAAAUUUAGACCUCGUUGGUACGGGCUGGAGUUCGGGCACUGUUAAAAGCCCCAGGUGAUCCAGACACAGCCAGGUGGAGGCCAGUAGAGGUGGAACCCCUCCUUCAUGACUUCCCAGCAGCUGCUUGAACCACCCCAAGCAUCAUCUCGCAAACAGCAGUGAUGAUGAAACGCCUACCUGCACCCGAGGUCCUGCAGCCGCCAAGCUGGUCCACGCCUGCACCCGAGGUCCUACAGCCGCCAAGGUGGUCCACACCUGCACCCGAGGUCCUGCAGCCGCCAAGGUGGUCCACACCUGCACCCGAGGUCCUGCAGCCGCCAAGGUGGUCCACGCCUGCACCCGAGGUCCUGCAGCCGCCAUGCUGGUCCACACCUGCACCCGAGGUCCUACAGCCGCCAAGCUGGUCCACACCUGCACCCGAGGUCCUGCAGCCAACAAGCUGGUCCACGCCUGCACCCGAGGUCCUGCAGCCGCCAUGCUGGUCCACACCUGCACCCGAGGUCCUGCAGCCGCCAUGCUGGUCCACACCUGCACCCGAGGUCCUACAGCCGCCAAGGUGGUCCACACCUGCACCCGAGGUCCUACAGCCGCCAUGCUGGUCCACACCUGCACCCGAGGUCCUGCAGCCGCCAAGCUGGUCCACACCUGCACCCGAGGUCCUGCAGCCACCAAGGUGGUCCACACCUGCACCCGAGGUCCUGUAGCCACCAAGGUGGUCCACACCUGCACCCGAGGUCCUACAGCCGCCAAGGUGGUCCACGCCUGCACCCGAGGUCCUGCAGCCACCAAGCUGGUCCACGCCUGCAGCUGAGGUCCUGUAACCACCAAGGUGGUCCAUGCCUGCACCCGAGGUCCUGCAGCCACCAAGCUGGUCAAUGCCUGCACCCGAGGUCCUGUAGUCCUGUGGCUGCCAAGCUCGUUCAUGCCUUAUAACCUGCUUGAAAAGCGCUUCAACACCUGCACCCAACUUCCUGCGGUCCUGUGGCUGUCAAGCUGACCCACGCCCCUGUCACUUACUUGAAAAAUGCUUCAACACCUGGCUUCCACAUCCCUUUCUGGAGCUUCCCAGUGCCUCCAGUGAGUCUGCAGCUCCCAGCUCUGCACUGCCUGAAGUCACAGAGAGACAUCCAUGUCAGGGUGCACGUGCCAUGCCUGGCCUCUCAGGAACAGCGUU
This 1564-nucleotide long non-coding RNA is filed under the name Macaca mulatta (Rhesus monkey). RNAcentral's name for it is "lncRNA (ENSMMUG00000065145.1)". Lineage: Eukaryota; Metazoa; Chordata; Mammalia; Primates; Cercopithecidae. The record is from RNAcentral.